GUCCACGCCCUAAACGAUGUCAACUAGGUGUUGGGUGGGUAAACCAUUUAGUACCGGAGCUAACGCGUGAAGUUGACCGCCUGGGGAGUACGGCCGCAAGGUUAAACUCAAAGGAAUUGACGGGGACCCGCACAAGCGGUGGAUGAUGUGGAUUAAUUCGAUGCAACGCGAAAACCUUACCUACCCUUGACAUGUUCAGAAGUCUCGAGAGAUUGAGAUGUGCCCGAAAGGGAACUGGAACACAGGUGCUGCAUGGCUGUCGU
RNAcentral lists this ribosomal RNA (263 nucleotides) under uncultured bacterium. Its description in RNAcentral is "partial 16S ribosomal RNA". It matches the Rfam family "Bacterial small subunit ribosomal RNA", at positions 793 to 1055 of the family's 1533-position model. The record is from RNAcentral.